This 450-nucleotide ribosomal RNA is filed under the name uncultured bacterium. RNAcentral describes it as "partial 16S ribosomal RNA". It matches the Rfam family "Bacterial small subunit ribosomal RNA", at positions 354 to 796 of the family's 1533-position model. The record is from RNAcentral.
GUGGGGAAUAUUGGACAAUGGGCGAAAGCCUGAUCCAGCCAUGCCGCGUGCAGGAUGAAGGCCUUCGGGUUGUAAACUGCUUUUGUACGGAACGAAAAGACUUCUUCUAAUACAGGAGGUCCAUGACGGUACCGUAAGAAUAAGCACCGGCUAACUACGUGCCAGCAGCCGCGGUAAUACGUAGGGUGCAAGCGUUAAUCGGAAUUACUGGGCGUAAAGCGUGCGCAGGCGGUUAUAUAAGACAGAUGUGAAAUCCCCGGGCUCAACCUGGGAACUGCAUUUGUGACUGUAUAGCUAGAGUACGGUAGAGGGGGAUGGAAUUCCGCGUGUAGCAGUGAAAUGCGUAGAUAUGCGGAGGAACACCGAUGGCGAAGGCAAUCCCCUGGACCUGUACUGACGCUCAUGCACGAAAGCGUGGGGAGCAAACAGGAUUAGAUACCCUGGUAGUCC